UACGGAGGGUGCAAGCGUUGUUCGGAAUCACUGGGCGUAAAGGGCGUGUAGGCGGUCCGCUAAGUCUGAUGUGAAAGCCCGGGGCUCACCCCCGGAAGGGCAUUGGAAACUGGCGAACUCGAGUCCCGGAGAGGAGGGUGGAAUUCCCGGUGUAGCGGUGAAAUGCGUAGAUAUUGGGAGGAACACCAGUGGCGAAGGCGGCUCACUGGACCGGUACUGACGCUGAUGCGCGAAAGCGUGGGGAGCAAACGGG
RNAcentral lists this ribosomal RNA (253 nucleotides) under uncultured bacterium. Its description in RNAcentral is "partial 16S ribosomal RNA". It matches the Rfam family "Bacterial small subunit ribosomal RNA", at positions 524 to 776 of the family's 1533-position model. The record is from RNAcentral.